AUAUCUUGUGUAUUUUUUCUCACAUAAAUACAUGUUAUAAAAGUAUCUAAUACACAGAUAUAUAAAAGCAUUCUUAGUGCCUUCUAAGAAAAGAAGUAGGCUGCCCAAGGGUAUCUUUUUGAGAUGAGAGACUUAAUUUCUUGUUGUAAGUAUAAGGAGGUUUUGAUAUGUCUUCAUUUAACUGAUUAUAACACAAAUGUUAGUUUUUUGGAAUCUUUCUCUGUUGGUAAUUAGGAUCUUUUCCAUAUGGACUUCAUCAAAUGCUUUGUGAUCAGUACAAAACAUUAGUCUUUUUCUCCCCAGAUUUGCUCCAAAGAGACUGUUUAUGUCGGUCAAUUAUGACUUUAAAAUACAAAGGUAGCAGAUAUCAAUACAGAAAUAAGGGUAAUAAAUAGGAUAAAUCGAUCCUUCUAACCCUGCUCACUUUGAGGAUUCACCAAGCAAGACUUAUACUGCUUCCAGUUAAUAUGUUUUAGUGACAAGUUUGCCAUCAGGGAAUAAAGAAACCAUUUUACACGCAUGGGGGAGGUGGGGGUAUGUGUUACUAUGUAAAAGUUUGAGUUGUGUCACUGCUUUGUCAUUGGCCGAUUCCGUGAUCUCACCAGGGAAGACAGGAAGCGAAGUUUAUGGAAAGUGGAUUGCUUGACCCAUCGGGAAGAUACCCCUGGGAUCUGAUGAGGACAUAAGGUCCAGAAACUUGAACUAUAAGCGGCGAACUUGGGAGUGAUUUAUCAAGUUUUGUUCUUUUAAUCUUUUACUCUUUCCUCCAUCUUAGUACUUUCCUUUUCUCCCAGUCUCCUCCCACCUUUGUUUGCUGAAUACUCUUUUUCACUGUUGUUUUUUUACAGAUCCUUCCCUAGAAGACAAGGAGGAGGUGCUCACAGCAAAAGAACAGCACAGUUGCCAGAGUCUUCUCUGCACCUGACGUGGGGCUCGAACUCACAACCCAGAGAUCAAGAGUCACUUGCUCUUCCAACUGGGCCACCCGGGUGCUCCAAGUUAGUCACUUUGAUGGCGUUACUCACCCUCUCAGAGUGCCUGAUGGGGCCCUGCUAUUUCUAGUGUGCCGGCUGCUGCCCUCCCGGAGGUCAUUCCCACUGGAGAAUGGCCCUGCCCAUUCCAGGCCUGCCUUGCCCCUUAUGACUCCACCUUUUUGUGGUAAGUGCCCGGAAGUGGAGGCUGUUCCUUAUGGGAGAACCAAGCUUUGUAUGUGAACACAAACAAAUGAAUUGAUUCUUCCUGAUCUCCAUGGAGAGAGGCUAAUUUAGGAGGUUGGAGAUGAAACCCAAGAGGCUGAUGGAUGGAUCCUUGCUUGGCUUUCAGGAUUAGGGUGUUUGCAGUUAGGGCUUCAUCUCCCUUACCUAUUUGCUUAGCUUUUCGCUUCCUAUUGCGUUCCUGUGAACCAGGGCAUCAUUCUCAAUGGUGGGGGGGGGGGGGCACAUUGCUCGAGGCUUGGAGAAUCACUGUGUCUGAUUACAGAGCUGUACAUAUGACCAACUUGGAAGGAGGAAAGGAUCCCCAAGAAUGCUGGACUGAGAGUUCGUGCUGUUGUUGCCUGAGACCCUCGUAAUGCUGGUAGCCGAGGCCAGGUGAACAUCCAGGACUGUUCUUCCGUCAAGUUGGUAUUUUGGCUUCAUGGGGCUGCCCAGUCCACUUCCAGGUGUGGAUGCACUUUUCCUUUGCCUGCAGGGCCACCUUUCAACUGUUUCAUCGUGGGGCUUUUCCUUUCUUUUGUUUCUGCUUGAUUUGACUCGGGAGGGUAGGAGGGAUCUUUUUUUUUUUUUUUUUUUGUACCUUCAGGAAUUUACAGAAGAGUUUUGCCACAGAGGGGCAAUUCUGAUUACCCCAGUUUUUAGACACCCUCCUCUGAACAACUACAACCUUCCCCAAGACAACCUGAUGAGAGUCACAUCUUGACUGGCCUACGGGCUGUACCCCAGGACCGCGUGACAGAUGGCAGGUUUUUAUAGAGAAAUAUUGACUUGCAGAAGAGUCCUGCGGGGAAGUGAAAGGGUUGAAGCAGGUGCAUGUCCUUGCCGUUAAUUUCCCAGGCUGUUUCCAAUGGGAUGACACGUUAUGUUAAGCCAAUGUCCCCUCGUCUGCCUCCCAUCUGGCGCAGACCCCCUCAGGGUCCGUUGGGAAUAUUUACCUUCCUUGAUCAGGUUUCAUCUUCCUCCCAAAGCCUUCCUUGAUGGUGACUCCAUCUCUAUAUCCUCAGAGCUCAUUAGCUUGUUUUCAGUGUUACAGCCUCCCGUAGACCUUUCUUUCAUUGCUUAUGUCACACUGAGCGGUAACCGUUUGUCCUUCCAUUGCUUCCUGUAGACUGUCCCCUCUUUGCUGGAAGCGUCCUCCGCAUAGUAACCAGAAUGCCUUAGGCGCACAAGAUACUUUGUUAACUCAAGUGGUAAUUUCGUAGCCUCCUUCUCCCAGUGGCUAGGCUCCCCUGCCAACAUACACAGUUCAGUAAGUUAUUGAUUCAUGUGUUUCAGAAAAGCAAUGAAAUCUGUGGAAAGGUCUAUCUUCAAUGUAUACAUUGUGCUUAUUUAUAGUCCUUGCGAUGUUCUUGAGAAACUAGUGUUACUAGUGGUGACUUUAAACUUACAGUUUUAAAUCAGUUGAUGUUGCGUCUUCAUUACUAAUCUUUCAAGUGAGCAUGAGGUUCGGUGUUAAUGAAAGGCUCUUCCUCAUUAGGUAGAUAUAGAGCAUUUCUAUUAUCCCAGAAAAGUUCCCCAUGCUCUUUUAUUUUUUAAGUAAUGCCUAUGCAUAACAUGGGGCUUGAACUCAAGACUCUUGAGAUCAAGAGUUGCAUGUUCUACCGAUUGAGCCAGCCAAGUGUCUGUCCUCAUACUCUCUUGUAUUCAACCAACUUCCAGCUUUAGGCAGCCAGUGAUCUGCUUUUUUGUUUGUUUGUUUGUUUGUUUAUUUAUUUAUUUUGAGAGAAAUAGAGCACACAUGGGAAGGGCAGAGA
Long non-coding RNA from Hyaena hyaena (striped hyena), 2968 nucleotides. RefSeq lists it as uncharacterized. The transcript has 3 exons. Lineage: Eukaryota; Metazoa; Chordata; Mammalia; Carnivora; Hyaenidae. The record is from RefSeq and is a predicted model, not a curated record.